CAGUAGCCGCGGUAAUACGUAGGGUGCAAGCGUUAAUCGGAAUUACUGGGCGUAAAGCGUGCGCAGGCGGUUAUAUAAGACAGAUGUGAAAUCCCCGGGCUCAACCUGGGAACUGCAUUUGUGACUGUAUAGCUAGAGUACGGCAGAGGGAGAUGGAAUUCCGCGUGUAGCAGUGAAAUGCGUAGAUAUGCGGAGGAACACCGAUGGCGAAGGCAAUCCCCUGGGCCUGUACUGACGCUCAUGCACGAAAGCGUGGGGAGCAAACAGGAUUAGAUACCCGCGUAGUCCCUGUCUCUUAUAC
Molecule: ribosomal RNA, 301 nt
Filed under: uncultured bacterium
Lineage: Bacteria
Description: partial 16S ribosomal RNA
Rfam family: Bacterial small subunit ribosomal RNA
Source: RNAcentral